UGGUUUGAGAGCCCUCCUGUACACGUGGUCGCGUUGGGAUAUCCAUUGUCUACGUGUUUUCCAUUCGACAUUCUCUCUUCUCUACUCACCGAUUCUCAUCCAUCGCUUCUUCAUUCUUCUUCUCAGUGAAACCUCACCGCCAUCACCCUAUGGGCGGCCAUCGUUCACCACCACCAACAAUCUGCUUUUUCACCACUGUUCAUGGGGUUUACUUCGUCAACGAUGCUCACCACCCCCACAAGUUCCGGAGAGUGCAGCCUUGAUUUUUGAUCAGUUUUUUUAUCACCAUCAACGACGAGCAAGAGGAGCAACAGCCGCCAUCACUGCAAUUCCUAUUCUAUUGUCUGCGACUCAUUGAUCUUGCGUUUUCUGGUUUUUCUCAUGCCCUAACUCUCGCUCUAUAGGUCAAUUAUGGAAGAUGCAAUUCUGAUUUUGAAGUUUUCGAUUUUUUUGAAUGAUAGAUCAAAUUGGGGAUUUUCUUUUCUUAUCUGACCCUUGAUUUAUAGUUUCUCACAUACUCUGGCAUAUGAGAAGCAGCAUCCAACUGCGGCCACCAUUGCAUCUUCUUCAACCAAACAAUAUAUGUUCCUAAAAACUUAGGUUAGUUUUGAUUUUACCCAGCUCCAAUCUCAGGGCUCUAAAUUGUUGGUGCAGUUCGACAAUUGAUGUGGUGUUGGGUUUAUAACCGACGUUGGUUGUGUCUGGAGGUUUCCGGCUACAACCCAUUGUUGAUUCUGAUGCGGUUUAGAUCGACCUCCACUGCCACCACCACUCUCAGCAUCGUCAGCCUAAUGACGAAGGUAUCAGCUCUAAUGAAGAAGGUGUUGUCGGCUAAUAAGUAAGGAUCGGGAAAAAACCAUUUUUCUUUGUGCAUGUGUAUCUUUCUAUCUAUGCCCACCACAUGUUUGCUGGAAUGCCCAGAUAAGUUGUUUCCGGCCCCACGGUAGAAGCACAUUGUUUUAUUGAACUAUGUUUCUUAAUUGACUUAAAGAAUGAAAAAAGGUCAAAUUCCCAACAUCAACCUAGACUUCAGACACCCUUUUUUCCCGGAUCAAAAACCCGGAAACUUUCAUCUUCCUUCCAUAAUAAAGCAGAUAUAAUUAGCUUUUUUUUGACUUUCCAGAGGAAGCUAUUGAAUGGACAACGAUAUACGAAUUGCCUCAUUAUGGAAGGAAGUCAAAGCAGAUAAAGAAACAAUUAAUGGUGC
Molecule: non-coding RNA, 1207 nt
Organism: Lactuca sativa (garden lettuce)
Lineage: Eukaryota; Viridiplantae; Streptophyta; Magnoliopsida; Asterales; Asteraceae
Source: RefSeq, a predicted model, not a curated record